This 596-nucleotide unclassified non-coding RNA is filed under the name Hevea brasiliensis (rubber tree). The record is from RNAcentral. Lineage: Eukaryota; Viridiplantae; Streptophyta; Magnoliopsida; Malpighiales; Euphorbiaceae.
UUUUAAGAGUUUAAUUAAUAGCCUGUUUUUGAGAUUAGAUCUGUUAAUUGUCCUCUUGUUUUUGUGUGGAUACUAGGAUUUUGUAUCUAGUUUAUUCAGAUAUCUAAGUAUUGGAGUACUGCAUUUUCAGUAGCUGAUAAGGAGGAUCAGGAAAAAUGAAGCACAAAGAUGGAAAAACUCAUCAAUCGGAUAAAAGUUCAUGGAAAGUCACAGUUCCAUUAACAGUUGUGGUGCUGUGUGGGCUUUUUUUCUACCUUGGAGGUAUUUUUUGCUCUGAAAGGGAGAGAUAUGUAGCUGAGCCUGUUAACAAGGCUGUUGACACUCCCACGGGAACUGCUACUGUACCUGUCCAGAUCAAAGCUGUUUCUUUUCCUGAAUGUAGUGCUGAGUAUCAGGACUAUACUCCAUGCACAGAUCCAAAGAGAUGGCACAAGUAUGGUCGCCAUCGUCUUGCUUUCUUGGAACGGCAUUGCCCUCCUAGUUUUGAAAGACAGGAAUGCUUGGUACCCCCACCAGAUGGCUAUAAAUCGCCUAUUAGAUGGCCAAAGAGCAAAAAUGAGUGUUGGUACAGGAAUGUUCCAUAUGAUUGGAUUAAC